CGGUGGAGCAUGUGGUUAAUUCGACGCAACGCGAAGAACCUUACCAGGGUUGACAUCCCUGACGGCUGUGGAAACACAGAAUUCUAUUUUCGGAUAGACAGGGAGACAGGUGGUGCAUGGUUGUCGUCAGCUCGUGUCGUGAGAUGUUGGGUUAAGUCCCGCAACGAGCGCAACCCCUACGUUUAGUUGCUAACGGGUGGAGCCGAGCACUCUGGACGAACUGCCGUUGACAAACGGAGGAAGGUGGGGAUGACGUCAAAUCAUCAUGCCCCUUAUGUCCUGGGCCACACACGUGCUACAAUGGCCGGUACAGAGGGAAGCGAAGCCGUGAGGCGGAGCAAAUCCCAAAAAGCCGGUCUCAGUUCGGAUUGCAGGCUGCAACCCGCCUGCAUGAAGUCGGAAUCGCUAGUAAUCGCAGGUCAGCAUACUGCGGUGAAUACGUUCCCGGGCCUU
This 453-nucleotide ribosomal RNA is filed under the name uncultured Pelotomaculum sp. RNAcentral's name for it is "bacterial SSU rRNA". It matches the Rfam family "Bacterial small subunit ribosomal RNA", at positions 930 to 1382 of the family's 1533-position model. The record is from RNAcentral. Lineage: Bacteria; Bacillati; Bacillota; Clostridia; Eubacteriales; Desulfotomaculaceae.